This is a long non-coding RNA of Herpailurus yagouaroundi (jaguarundi), 663 nucleotides long. RefSeq lists it as uncharacterized. The transcript is spliced from 3 exons. NCBI's taxonomy places the organism in Eukaryota, Metazoa, Chordata, Mammalia, Carnivora, Felidae. The record is from RefSeq and is a predicted model, not a curated record.
ACUGGCAUGAAUAAAAUAGGCCAGGAAGGUCUGCGUGCCUUCCAACCUUAAUGCAGCUCUGUGCUGCACGACUUAAAGGCAGAGCACCUGCCGUCACAGUCCUUAGUGGACUGGCCUUUAUCUCAGGUGAGUGGGGCCUUUCUGGUUGGGUGUCUUGCUGACAGGUGUGCAGGGAGAGAUGAGAGCCUGGCCCAUGGGUGAAUGAUUGCUGUUCAUCCAUGGAAUUCAUUUUCCUAUUUGAAAUGCCGCAUAAUCGGGUGGCGGAUAGAGUGCUGAAUUGGAAAUCCAGGGUAGGCAGACUUUGUGAGGACCCUGCUGCUGAUACUUAGAGUGGUCCAGCAGUGGUGGCUUCCUGUGCCCGGGAACUCAUGUGGAAAGAACUAGCAAGGACACUGAGAAGCUCCAUCUCAUUCUGCAGUCCUAGAAAGGAAACAACCCAUAGACGUCACCAAACACCAAUAUAAUCCCUUCUUUCAAAACGAAAAGAUAACAUUUGAUUCCCACGACGGAGGAAGGCAGUGCCCAAGUCCGGAAUCCAUCAAAUCAGGAUAAUUUCACGGAGCCUCCACACUUCAAGACUUCAGUUCUUAACGGCUUUUAUGGUUCUGGGUAAUUUCACUGUUGUUAUUGUUUUAAAGAUAAAUAAAAUCGGUGCUCUCUGCA